AUUGAACGCUGGCGGCAUGCCUUACACAUGCAAGUCGAACGGCAGCGCGGGGCAACCUGGCGGCGAGUGGCGAACGGGUGAGUAAUAUAUCGGAACAUACCCUAGAGUGGGGGAUAACGUAGCGAAAGUUACGCUAAUACCGCAUACGCACUAAGGUGGAAAGUGGGGGAUUCGCAAGAACCUCAUGCUCAUGGAGUGGCCGAUAUCUGAUUAGCUAGUUGGUGAGGUAAAGGCUCACCAAGGCGACGAUCAGUAGCUGGUUUGAGAGAACGACCAGCCACACUGGAACUGAGACACGGUCCAGACUCCUACGGGAGGCAGCAGUGGGGAAUUUUGGACAAUGGGGGCAACCCUGAUCCAGCAAUGCCGCGUGAGUGAAGAAGGCC
Molecule: ribosomal RNA, 386 nt
Filed under: uncultured bacterium
Lineage: Bacteria
Description: bacterial SSU rRNA
Rfam family: Bacterial small subunit ribosomal RNA
Source: RNAcentral